AACGCACAUUGCGCCCAUCAGUAUUCUGGUGGGCAUGCCUGUUCGAGCGUCAUUUCAACCCUUAAGCCCCUGCUGCUUAGCGUUGGGAGCCUACGGCAGUAGCUCCCCAAAGACAGUGGCGGGGCCGGUCACACACCCCGGACGUAGUAGAAUGUCUCGUCCGCGGUUGGGCCGGUCUCCUGCCGUAAAACCCCCCAAAUCACAAGGUUGACCUCGGAUCAGGUAGGAAUACCCGCUGAACUUAA
Molecule: unclassified non-coding RNA, 245 nt
Filed under: uncultured Xylariales
Lineage: Eukaryota; Fungi; Ascomycota; Sordariomycetes; Xylariales
Description: sequence contains 5.8S rRNA gene, ITS2, 28S rRNA gene
Source: RNAcentral